UUUCACGACUUGACCUCGGAUCA
This 23-nucleotide ribosomal RNA is filed under the name Periconia macrospinosa. Its description in RNAcentral is "partial 28S ribosomal RNA". Lineage: Eukaryota; Fungi; Ascomycota; Dothideomycetes; Pleosporales; Periconiaceae. The record is from RNAcentral.